RNAcentral lists this ribosomal RNA (161 nucleotides) under uncultured bacterium. Its description in RNAcentral is "partial 16S ribosomal RNA". It matches the Rfam family "Bacterial small subunit ribosomal RNA", at positions 355 to 507 of the family's 1533-position model. The record is from RNAcentral.
UGGGGAAUAUUGGACAAUGGGGGGAAGCCUGAUCCAGCCAUGCCGCGUGUGUGAAGAAGGCCUUAUGGUUGUAAAGCACUUUAAGCGAGGAGGAGGCUACUAAGAUUAGUACUACUGGAUAGUGGACGUUACUCGCAGAAUAAGCACCGGCUAACUCUGUG